Molecule: ribosomal RNA, 468 nt
Filed under: uncultured bacterium
Lineage: Bacteria
Description: partial 16S ribosomal RNA
Rfam family: Bacterial small subunit ribosomal RNA
Source: RNAcentral
GACGAACGCUGGCGGCGUGCUUAACACAUGCAAGUCGAACGGAAAGGCCCUGCUUUUGUGGGGUGCUCGAGUGGCGAACGGGUGAGUAACACGUGAGUAACCUGCCCUUGACUUUGGGAUAACUUCAGGAAACUGGGGCUAAUACCGGAUAGGGGCUCCUGCUGCAUGGUGGGGGUUGGAAAGUUUCGGCGGUUGGGGAUGGACUCGCGGCUUAUCAGCUUGCUGGUGGGGUAGUGGCUUACCAAGGCUUUGACGGGUAGCCGGCCUGAGAGGGUGACCGGCCACAUUGGGACUGAGAUACGGCCCAGACUCCUACGGGAGGCAGCAGUGGGGAAUAUUGCACAAUGGGCGGAAGCCUGAUGCAGCAACGCCGCGUGCGGGAUGACGGCCUUCGGGUUGUAAACCGCUUUCGCCUGUGACGAAGCGUGAGUGACGGUAAUGGGUAAAGAAGCACCGGCUAACUACGUG